Molecule: long non-coding RNA, 728 nt
Organism: Homarus americanus (American lobster)
Lineage: Eukaryota; Metazoa; Arthropoda; Malacostraca; Decapoda; Nephropidae
Exons: 4
Source: RefSeq, a predicted model, not a curated record
CAACCCCGGGCGUGGCAGAUCAACGUGACUUAAGGAUAUACAAUUCUUCUAACUACUGCUAUCAAAUCAUACGUGAAGUGAGAGGUGUGCUGUUUUUAUCACGGACUGAGGCAGAUCUAACGUGACCCAAGGAUACAACUCGACAGGGCUUCAUCUGUUGCUUUUCUUUAGUUAAUAUGAUGGACCUCGAUGUUCUUCUAUCGUGGAAGCCACAUAUCCUCAACAUAACUAAAGCUGCCUCCUGGAAGCUGGGAAUGCUGUACAGAUGCCGUAAUUACUUCACGCCUGAGCUGUUAUUUCAGGUACUUCAAUGGGCAAAGUUCGGUGGAUUUGGUAUCUUGUGUACCGCCUGCAGGGCCGUGGGCUCGUAAUACAGUUUCUGCCCACCGUUUGUGUGAGGAUGUGGGUCACACUAUACUAACCCGUUAUAGUACCUCCUUCUUUCCUCGCACUGUUGAAUGCUCUGCCUUCUGUGUUUCCCUACAAUGUCUCCUUACACAAGAUGGUUUAUCCUCCCGGGCUCUACCUGGAGUGUCUAUUGAUCCUGUUCAAGCAGAUAGGUGUAGUCCGGCUCACAGUGAACUUGGGCUAAUGCAGUUUUCAUCCAGAACACAAAAUGACCUUGGCCUUGUGGUCGACCAAUGAAGAGCUCGGUGUAGGUCGGAAAGGUUCUGUUUACACAUCUUUGUAAUUUCUUUUGCUCGGUUGUAAAAUAAACUAAAACUAAA